This 535-nucleotide ribosomal RNA is filed under the name uncultured Acidobacteriota bacterium. Its description in RNAcentral is "bacterial SSU rRNA". It matches the Rfam family "Bacterial small subunit ribosomal RNA", at positions 13 to 529 of the family's 1533-position model. Lineage: Bacteria; Pseudomonadati; Acidobacteriota. The record is from RNAcentral.
UUGAUCCUGGCUCAGAAUCAACGCUGGCGGCGUGCCUAACACAUGCAAGUCGAACGCGAAAGUCCCGCAAGGGAUAAGUAGAGUGGCAAACGGGUGAGUUACGCGUGGGUGACCUGCCUUCGAGCGGGGGAUAACGUUCCGAAAGGGACUCUAAUACCGCAUGACAUCCUGUCUUUUAAGAGAUGGUGAUCAAAGCGGCUUCGCAAGACGUCGCACUCGAAGAGGGGCCCGCGUCCGAUUAGCUAGUUGUUGAGGUAACGGCUCACCAAGGCAUCGAUCGGUAGCCGGCCUGAGAGGGCUGACGGCCACACUGGGACUGAGACACGGCCCAGACUCCUACGGGAGGCAGUAGUGGGGAAUUGUUCGCAAUGGGCGCAAGCCUGACGACGCAACGCCGCGUGGAGGAUGAAGACCUUCGGGUCGUAAACUCCUUUCGAUCGAGGAGAAUUUCUCCCGGGUGAACAAUCCGGGAGGUUGACGGUACCGAGAGAAGAAGCCCUGGCUAACUCCGUGCCAGCAGCCGCGGUAAUAAGGU